This 548-nucleotide ribosomal RNA is filed under the name fungal yeast sp. Urf1689. RNAcentral describes it as "eukaryotic LSU rRNA". It matches the Rfam family "Eukaryotic large subunit ribosomal RNA", at positions 47 to 600 of the family's 3401-position model. The record is from RNAcentral. Lineage: Eukaryota; Fungi.
UAAGCGGUGGAAAAGAAACUAACAAGGAUUCCCCUAGUAGCGGCGAGCGAAGCGGGAAGAGCUCAAAUUUAUAAUCUGGCACCUUCGGUGUCCGAGUUGUAAUCUCUAGAAGUGUUUUCCGCGUUGGACCGCACACAAGUCUGUUGGAAUACAGCGGCAUAGUGGUGAAACCCCCGUAUAUGGUGCGGACGCCCAGCGCUUUGUGAUACACUUUCAAUGAGUCGAGUUGUUUGGGAAUGCAGCUCAAAUUGGGUGGUAAAUUCCAUCUAAAGCUAAAUAUUGGCGAGAGACCGAUAGCGAACAAGUACCGUGAGGGAAAGAUGAAAAGCACUUUGGAAAGAGAGUUAACAGUACGUGAAAUUGUUGGAAGGGAAACGCUUGAAGUCAGACUUGCUUGCCGGAGCUUGCUUCGGUUUGCAGGCCAGCAUCAGUUUUCCGGGGUGGAUAAUGACGGUUUGAAGGUAGCAGUCUCGGCUGUGUUAUAGCUUUCCGUUGGAUACAUCCUGGGGGACUGAGGAACGCAGCGUGCUUUUGCGAAAGACUCGUCU